CAGAGAAUAGUUUAAUAAAAAUAUUAGUUUUGGGGACUAAUGAUAAGAGGUAACUCUUUUCUCUGA
This 66-nucleotide transfer RNA is filed under the name Penaeus duorarum (pink shrimp). RNAcentral's name for it is "tRNA-Pro". The record is from RNAcentral. Lineage: Eukaryota; Metazoa; Arthropoda; Malacostraca; Decapoda; Penaeidae.